AUGAAAUUCCGCAAAGGGGGCAAGGUGGAGGUACUGCAGAAGGCGGAGGCACCUUUCGGUUCCUGGCGGCCUGCCGAGAUCCUUUCUGGCAAUGGGCACACCUAUCUUGUAAGCUAUGAUCCAUGUCUGCUUGCCGGUAGCCUGGCCAUUGAAAGGGUUCCAAGAAAGGUGAUAAGGCCUUCUCCCCCGUCCCCAGAUGGUCCGGUAUGCUGGGUCCCAGGCGACAUCCUUGAAGUCUUCGACAACUAUUCAUGGAAGGUUGUGGAAGUCGUGAGAUUGCUUGGUCAUGAGUACUAUCUUGUCAGGCUCCUCGGAUCCUCCCUAGAAUUGAGGGUAGAUGCAUCCAAUCUUAGGACAAGGCAGCUUUGGCAAGAUGGCAAAUGGGUUGCUCUUCCAAAGGAUUCUGCAAGAUGUGCUGCUGGUUCACACAGGAGCCGGACAAAAGGUGGAAAUUCAGGGGGCAGUCAUCUUCUAUUAAAGAACAAGAAUGUGUUUGAAGACAAUAUGUCUCGAGGCAUGAAGAGGAAAACCUCUGCUGCAUCAGCUUUCCCUAUGCAGCGCAGUGAAGUUACUAAGAGAUUUCAGACUUCUCGCAGAGAUGGAAGACGCCAACAUCUUGGUCCUGGAGAUUCUCUUCAUUUGAUGGAUAAGGUAGAUGCUGUUGAUUCCCCAUGCUUAAUGCUGGGUGAAAAAUGCAUGCAUGAUUCCUUAAUUAACAGAGCAAAUGGCUUUCCUAAAACAAACCUUGCAGUGGUUAAUGCUAAUGUUGAUUAUCAGUAUCCCUCUGUAACAACUCAAGAUAGUGAUACUGAUAGUGCCGCAUCCUCUGUUGGUAGUUGCAAUCCCUACGGUAGCCCCUAUGGACAAGCACAUCCUCAAGAGUACGACAGUGGAGAUAUUUGUAGUAGGACUGAUGAUGAUGAAGCUUCUGUAUCUGGAACUGAAUCACCUCUUCCAAUUAAAGGUGGUCUGGGGGAAGAAACCCAUCUGCUUGAGUUGCAUGCUUAUCGUGCAACAAUGAUGGCACUAUAUGCUUAUGGAUCAAUUAGCUGGGAGCAAGAGGCUUUGAUGACUAAUCUGAGGCUUACACUGAACAUCUCUACUGAUGAACAUUUAUCAGAGUUAAGGAAUUUGGCUAACUCUGCAGUUUGUUCUAGAUAG
RNAcentral lists this ribosomal RNA (1161 nucleotides) under Triticum aestivum (bread wheat). Its description in RNAcentral is "partial small subunit ribosomal RNA". The record is from RNAcentral. Lineage: Eukaryota; Viridiplantae; Streptophyta; Magnoliopsida; Poales; Poaceae.